Molecule: unclassified non-coding RNA, 379 nt
Filed under: uncultured Gammaproteobacteria bacterium
Lineage: Bacteria; Pseudomonadati; Pseudomonadota; Gammaproteobacteria
Description: contains 16S-23S intergenic spacer region
Source: RNAcentral
UCCGGUUUAUCACCGGCAGUAUCCUUAGAGUUCCCGCCAUGACGCGCUGGUAACUAAGAAUAGGGGUUGCGCUCGUUACGGGACUUAACCCAACAUUUCACAACACGAGCUGACGACAGCCAUGCAGCACCUGUCUCUGGGUUCCCGAAGGCACCCUCACUAUUACGUGAGGUUCCCAGGAUGUCAAGAGUAGGUAAGGUUCUUCGCGUACCAUCGAAUUAAACCACAUGCUCCACCGCUUGUGCGGGUCCCCGUCAAUUCCUUUGAGUUUUAACCUUGCGGCCGUACUCCCCAGGCGGAGAACUUAUCGCGUUAGCUGCGACACUAAGCUCUCAUUGGAGCCUAACGUCUAGUUCUCAUCGUUUACGGCGUGGACUAC